RNAcentral lists this ribosomal RNA (505 nucleotides) under uncultured Selenomonas sp. RNAcentral's name for it is "bacterial SSU rRNA". It matches the Rfam family "Bacterial small subunit ribosomal RNA", at positions 547 to 1051 of the family's 1533-position model. The record is from RNAcentral. Lineage: Bacteria; Bacillati; Bacillota; Negativicutes; Selenomonadales; Selenomonadaceae.
GGAUUACUGGGCGUAAAGCGAGUGUAGGUGGCUCAUUAAGUCACAUGUGAAAUCCCCGGGCUUAACCUGGGAACUGCAUGUGAUACUGGUGGUGCUAGAAUAUGUGAGAGGAAAGCGGAAUUCCCAGCGUAGCGGUGAAAUGCGUAGAUAUUGGGAGGAACACCAGUGGCGAAGGCGGCUUUCUGGACUGUAACUGACGCUGAGGCUCGAAAGCCAGGGGAGCGAACGGGAUUAGAUACCCCGGUAGUCCUGGCCGUAAACGAUGAAUGCUAGGUGUAGGAGGUAUCGACCCCUCCUGUGCCGGAGUUAACGCAAUAAGCAUUCCGCCUGGGGAGUACGGUCGCAAGACUGAAACUCAAAGGAAUUGACGGGGGCCCGCACAAGCGGUGGAGUAUGUGGUUUAAUUCGACGCAACGCGAAGAACCUUACCAGGGCUUGACAUUGAGUGAAAGAGCUAGAGAUAGCUACCUCCCUUCGGGGACACGAAAACAGGUCGACGCGGCCG